Molecule: long non-coding RNA, 254 nt
Organism: Xenia sp. Carnegie-2017
Lineage: Eukaryota; Metazoa; Cnidaria; Anthozoa; Malacalcyonacea; Xeniidae
Exons: 2
Source: RefSeq, a predicted model, not a curated record
CUUUUGAGGUGUUAUUAUAAAUGUAUUAUUUAAAACAGAAACUUGUCAGAGUUUUACUUGUACCAACGCUGUAAUAUUUCAGGUUGCAACUUGCCAACUUGCUGAACUAUAAAUCAAGUUAAUCAACCAGCUAACCAAUUGUUAUUUUGGCAUUCAGUUCUCAAGUGAGGAUUAUGUUGCAAGUGUCUUGUGUUAUGUAGUUUUAGUAUGUUGGAUUAGAUUUUAGUGGCUACUUGUUGCAGUAGCAUGUUAAA